This 502-nucleotide ribosomal RNA is filed under the name uncultured bacterium. RNAcentral's name for it is "partial 16S ribosomal RNA". It matches the Rfam family "Bacterial small subunit ribosomal RNA", at positions 28 to 507 of the family's 1533-position model. The record is from RNAcentral.
GACGAACGCUGGCGGCGUGCUUAACACAUGCAAGUCGAACGGUGAAGGGGUCUGCUUUUGUGGGCCCUGGAUGAGUGGCGAACGGGUGAGUAACACGUGAGUAACCUGUCCCCUUCUUCUGGAUAACCGCAUGAAAGUGUGGCUAAUACGGGAUAUUCUGGGUCUGUCGCAUGAUGGGUCUGGGAAAGAUUGCGCCUUUGGGUGUUUUUGGUGGGGGAUGGGCUCGCGGCCUAUCAGCUUGUUGGUGGGGUGAUGGCCUACCAAGGCGGUGACGGGUAGCCGGCCUGAGAGGGUGGACGGUCACACUGGGACUGAGACACGGCCCAGACUCCUACGGGAGGCAGCAGUGGGGAAUAUUGCACAAUGGGCGCAAGCCUGAUGCAGCGACGCCGCGUGAGGGAUGGAGGCCUUCGGGUUGUAAACCUCUUUCGCCAGUGAAGCAGGCCUGCUCCUUGUGGGUGGGUUGACGGUAGCUGGAGAAGAAGCGCCGGCUAACUACGUG